This 434-nucleotide ribosomal RNA is filed under the name uncultured bacterium. RNAcentral describes it as "partial 16S ribosomal RNA". It matches the Rfam family "Bacterial small subunit ribosomal RNA", at positions 29 to 507 of the family's 1533-position model. The record is from RNAcentral.
AGCGAACGCUGGCGGCAGGCCUAACACAUGCAAGUCGAACGAACCUUUCGGGGUUAGUGGCGGACGGGUGAGUAACACGUGGGAACGUGCCUUUAGGUUCGGAAUAACUCAGGGAAACUUGUGCUAAUACCGAAUGUGCCCUUCGGGGGAAAGAUUUAUCGCCUUUAGAGCGGCCCGCGUCUGAUUAGCUGGUUGGUUGAGGUAAUGGCUCACCAAGGCGACGAUCAGUAGCUGGUCUGAGAGGAUGAUCAGCCACAUUGGGACUGAGACACGGCCCAAACUCCUACGGGAGGCAGCAGUGGGGAAUCUUGCGCAAUGGGCGAAAGCCUGACGCAGCCAUGCCGCGUGAAUGAUGAAGGUCUUAGGAUUGUAAAAUUCUUUCACCGGGGACGAUAAUGACGGUACCCGGAGAAGAAGCCCCGGCUAACUUCGUG